AUGUUGUUUUUUGUUGUUGUUGAUUGAUUACUUGGCUAGUGACUUUGUUUAAAGAAACUAGUUCAAAUCCCCUAACCCAGAUUAUAAAUUAAAAACUAAAAAAAACUAAAAAAUAAAAAAAAACCAAGAAAACCAUGUUUGUUAUUGUUGAAAAUUUAGUUUUCGCUUAGCGAACUAGCCUAGUGUCAAGAUCUCUUCGCGGAAUCUCCUAGAAGAAAGUCUCUCGAGCUGGAUUUGUGUAGUCAUUUCCUCGAACCAACACACUCACCCCCUGUUUCUAGCUUUCUCAGUUUAAAGCUAAGAAGCACGGACACGG
Molecule: long non-coding RNA, 316 nt
Filed under: Prunus persica (peach)
Lineage: Eukaryota; Viridiplantae; Streptophyta; Magnoliopsida; Rosales; Rosaceae
Description: long non-coding RNA (PPER_LNC005759)
Source: RNAcentral